GGAAUCUUCCACAAUGGACGCAAGUCUGAUGGAGCAACGCCGCGUGAGUGAAGAAGGUCUUCGGAUCGUAAAACUCUGUUGUUAGAGAAGAACACGAGUGAGAGUAACUGUUCAUUCGAUGACGGUAUCUAACCAGCAAGUCACGGCUAACUACGUGCCAA
RNAcentral lists this ribosomal RNA (161 nucleotides) under uncultured bacterium. RNAcentral describes it as "partial 16S rRNA". It matches the Rfam family "Bacterial small subunit ribosomal RNA", at positions 358 to 511 of the family's 1533-position model. The record is from RNAcentral.